UAGAGAAGCUGGGGAUGAUAUUACUU
Molecule: non-coding RNA, 26 nt
Filed under: Rattus norvegicus (Norway rat)
Lineage: Eukaryota; Metazoa; Chordata; Mammalia; Rodentia; Muridae
Source: RNAcentral